GACGAACGCUGGCGGCGUGCUUAACACAUGCAAGUCGAACGGAAAGGCCCUGCUUUUGUGGGGUGCUCGAGUGGCGAACGGGUGAGUAACACGUGAGUAACCUACCCUUGACUUUGGGAUAACUUCAGGAAACUGAGGCUAAUACCGGAUAGGAGCUCCUGCUGCAUGGUGGGGGUUGGAAAGUUUCGGCGGUUGGGGAUGGACUCGCGGCUUAUCAGCUUGUUGGUGGGGUAGUGGCUUACCAAGGCUUUGACGGGUAGCCGGCCUGAGAGGGUGACCGGCCACAUUGGGACUGAGAUACGGCCCAGACUCCUACGGGAGGCAGCAGUGGGGAAUAUUGCACAAUGGGCGGAAGCCUGAUGCAGCAACGCCGCGUGCGGGAUGACGGCCUUCGGGUUGUAAACCGCUUUCGCCUGUGACGAAGCGUGAGUGACGGUAAUGGGUAAAGAAGCACCGGCUAACUACGUGCCAGCAGCCGCGGUGAUACGUAGGGUGCGAGCGUUGUCCGGAUUUAUUGGGCGUAAAGGGCUCGUAGGUGGUUGAUCGCGUCGGAAGUGUAAUCUUGGGGCUUAACCCUGAGCGUGCUUUCGAUACGGGUUGACUUGAGGAAGGUAGGGGAGAAUGGAAUUCCUGGUGGAGCGGUGGAAUGCGCAGAUAUCAGGAGGAACACCAGUGGCGAAGGCGGUUCUCUGGGCCUUUCCUGACGCUGAGGAGCGAAAGCGUGGGGAGCGAACAGGCUUAGAUACCCUGGUAGUCCACGCUGUAAACGGUGGGUACUAGGUGUGGGGUCCAUUCCACGGGUUCCGUGCCGUAGCUAACGCUUUAAGUACCCCGCCUGGGGAGUACGGCCGCAAGGCUAAAACUCAAAGGAAUUGACGGGGCCCCGCACAAGCGGCGGAGCAUGCGGAUUAAUUCGAUGCAACGCGUAGAACCUUACCUGGGUUUGACAUGGAUCGGGAGUGCUCAGAGAUGGGUGUGCCUCUUUUGGGGUCGGUUCACAGGUGGUGCAUGGCUGUCGUCAGCUCGUGUCGUGAGAUGUUGGGUUAAGUCCCGCAACGAGCGCAACCCUUGUUCACUGUUGCCAGCACGUUAUGGUGGGGACUCAGUGGAGACCGCCGGGGUCAACUCGGAGGAAGGUGGGGAUGACGUCAAGUCAUCAUGCCCCUUAUGUCCAGGGCUUCACGCAUGCUACAAUGGCUGGUACAGAGAGUGGCGAGCCUGUGAGGGUGAGCGAAUCUCGGAAAGCCGGUCUCAGUUCGGAUUGGGGUCUGCAACUCGACCUCAUGAAGUCGGAGUCGCUAGUAAUCGCAGAUCAGCAACGCUGCGGUGAAUACGUUCCCGGG
This 1343-nucleotide ribosomal RNA is filed under the name uncultured bacterium. RNAcentral's name for it is "16S ribosomal RNA". It matches the Rfam family "Bacterial small subunit ribosomal RNA", at positions 28 to 1378 of the family's 1533-position model. The record is from RNAcentral.